This 253-nucleotide ribosomal RNA is filed under the name uncultured bacterium. RNAcentral's name for it is "partial 16S ribosomal RNA". It matches the Rfam family "Bacterial small subunit ribosomal RNA", at positions 524 to 776 of the family's 1533-position model. The record is from RNAcentral.
UACAGAGGUCUCAAGCGUUGUUCGGAUUCAUUGGGCGUAAAGGGUGCGUAGGCGGCGCGGUAAGUCGGGUGUGAAAUUUCGGAGCUUAACUCCGAAACUGCAUUCGAUACUGCCGUGCUUGAGGACUGGAGAGGAGACUGGAAUUUACGGUGUAGCAGUGAAAUGCGUAGAGAUCGUAAGGAAGACCAGUGGCGAAGGCGGGUCUCUGGACAGUUACUGACACUGAGGCACGAAGGCCAGGGGAGCAAACGGG